ACAUAGGUAUAAGGCACAUCUGUAUGGGGCACAUAGGUGUAAACCACAUCUGUAUAAGGUAUAUAGGUGUAAACCACAUCUGUAUAAGGUAUAUAGGUGUAAACCACAUCUGUAUAAGGUAUAUAGAUGUAAACCACAUCUGUAUAAGGUAUAUAGGUGUAAACCACAUCUGUAUAAGGUAUAUAGGUAUAAACCACAUCUGUAUAAGGUAUAUAGGUGUAAACCACAUCUAUAUAAGGUAUAUAGGUGUAAACCACAUCUGUAUAAGGAAUAUAGGUAUAAACCACAUCUGUAUAAGGUAUAUAGGUGUAAACCACAUCUGUGUAAGUCAGACACUGGGAAUAACAAGUUUAUGUUGAAACAGCUUUUUGGUUAUACUUAGAUUUUUCUACGUAUUAAAGAGGAAAGCCGGUGUGUGCGUUAAUGAGAUUGAUGGACGUGUCUUUUUCUUUUUUUCAUAAAGAAUUUAGAACCUUGGCCGAAUAUUUGACUGAGAGAGUCAAGCCUCUUCAUCGGCUUUUCAGAAUCGAUCAAUAUUUUGAUUGUGUAAUUGUCAGUGGUGAGAGGAGCACUGCUUCACAGAAACAUACCAUACAGAAUAGCAGAUGAGCGUUUGGA
Molecule: long non-coding RNA, 618 nt
Filed under: Rattus norvegicus (Norway rat)
Lineage: Eukaryota; Metazoa; Chordata; Mammalia; Rodentia; Muridae
Description: long non-coding RNA NONRATT012851
Source: RNAcentral